RNAcentral lists this ribosomal RNA (456 nucleotides) under uncultured bacterium. RNAcentral describes it as "bacterial SSU rRNA". It matches the Rfam family "Bacterial small subunit ribosomal RNA", at positions 434 to 888 of the family's 1533-position model. The record is from RNAcentral.
GGAGGAGGGUAACCUAGCUAAUAUCUAGGAUUAUCGGACGUUACUCGCAGAAUAAGCACCGGCUAACUCUGUGCCAGCAGCCGCGGUAAUACAGAGGGUGCGAGCGUUAAUCGGAAUUACUGGGCGUAAAGCGCGCGUAGGCGGUUUGUUAAGUCGGAUGUGAAAUCCCCGGGCUCAACCUGGGAACUGCAUUCGAUACUGGCAAGCUAGAGUAUGGGAGAGGAUGGUAGAAUUCCAGGUGUAGCGGUGAAAAUGCGUAGAGAUCUGGAGGAAUACCGAUGGCGAAGGCAGCCAUCUGGCCUAAUACUGACGCUGAGGUGCGAAAGCAUGGGGAGCAAACAGGAUUAGAUACCCUGGUAGUCCAUGCCGUAAACGAUGUCAACUAGCCGUUGGGGACCGUUGAGUCUUUAGUGGCGCAGCUAACGCGAUAAGUUGACCGCCUGGGGAGUACGGCCG